GUCCACGCCCUAAACGAUGAUGACUAGUUGUUGGAGGAGUUAAAUCCUUUAGUAACGCAGCUAACGCGUGAAGUCAUCCGCCUGGGGAGUACGGUCGCAAGAUUAAAACUCAAAGGAAUUGACGGGGGCCCGCACAAGCGGUGGAUGAUGUGGUUUAAUUCGAUGCAACGCGAAAACCUUACCUACCUUUGACAUGCUAGGAACGCUGCAGAAAUGCAGCGGUGCCCGAAAGGGAACCUAGACACAGGUGCUGCAUGGCUGUCGU
Molecule: ribosomal RNA, 265 nt
Filed under: uncultured bacterium
Lineage: Bacteria
Description: partial 16S ribosomal RNA
Rfam family: Bacterial small subunit ribosomal RNA
Source: RNAcentral